Molecule: ribosomal RNA, 1518 nt
Filed under: Escherichia coli
Lineage: Bacteria; Pseudomonadati; Pseudomonadota; Gammaproteobacteria; Enterobacterales; Enterobacteriaceae
Description: bacterial SSU rRNA
Rfam family: Bacterial small subunit ribosomal RNA
Source: RNAcentral
CUCAGAUUGAACGCUGGCGGCAGGCCUAACACAUGCAAGUCGAACGGUAACAGGAAGCAGCUUGCUUCUUUGCAAGACGAGUGGCGGACGGGUGAGUAAUGUCUGGGAAACUGCCUGAUGGAGGGGGAUAACUACUGGAACGGUAGCUAAUACCGCAUAACGUCGCAAGACCAAAGAGGGGGACCUUCGGGCCUCUUGCCAUCGAUUGUGCCCAGAUGGGAUUAGCUAGUAGGUGGGGUAACGGCUCACCUAGGCGACGAUCCCUAGCUGGUCUGAGAGGAUGACCAGCAACACUGGAACUGAGACACGGUCCAGACUCCUACGGGAGGCAGCAGUGGGGAAUAUUGCACAAUGGGCGCAAGCCUGAUGCAGCCAUGCCGCGUGUAUGAAGAAGGCCUUCGGGUUGUAAAGUACUUUCAGCGGGGAGGAAGGGAGUAAAGUUAAUACCUUUGCUCAUUGACGUUACCCGCAGAAGAAGCACCGGCUAACUCCGUGCCAGCAGCCGCGGUAAUACGGAGGGUGCAAGCGUUAAUCGGAAUUACUGGGCGUAAAGCGCACGCAGGCGGUUUGUUAAGUCAGAUGUGAAAUCCCCGGGCUCAACCUGGGAACUGCAUCUGAUACUGGCAAGCUUGAGUCUCGUAGAGGGGGGUAGAAUUCCAGGUGUAGCGGUGAAAUGCGUAGAGAUCUGGAAUAAAUACCGGUGGCGAAGGCGGCCCCCUGGACGAAGACUGACGCUCAGGUGCGAAAGCGUGGGGAGCAAACAGGAUUAGAUACCCUGGUAGUCCACGCCGUAAACGAUGUCGACUUGGAGGUUGUGCCCUUGAGGCGUGGCUUCCGGAGCUAACGCGUUAAGUCGACCGCCUGGGGAGUACGGCCGCAAGGUUAAAACUCAAAUGAAUUGACGGGGGCCCGCACAAGCGGUGGAGCAAGUGGUUUAAUUCGAUGCAACGCGAAGAACCUUACCUGGUCUUGACAUCCACGGAAGUUUUCAGAGAUGAGAAUGUGCCUUCGGGAACCGUGAGACAGGUGCUGCAUGGCUGUCGUCAGCUCGUGUUGUGAAAUGUUGGGUUAAGUCCCGCAACGAGCGCAACCCUUAUCCUUUGUUGCCAGCGGUCCGGCCGGGAACUCAAAGGAGACUGCCAGUGAUAAACUGGAGGAAGGUGGGGAUGACGUCAAGUCAUCAUGGCCCUUACGACCAGGGCUACACACGUGCUACAAUGGCGCAUACAAAGAGAAGCGACCUCGCGAGAGCAAGCGGACCUCUAAAGUGCGUCGUAGUCCGGAUUGGAGUCUGCUUCUCGACUCCAUGAAGUCGGAUCGCUAGUAAUCGUGGAUCAGAAUGCCACGGUGAAUACGUUCCCGGGCCUUGUACACACCGCCCGUCACACCAUGGGAGUGGGUUGCAAAAGAAGUAGGUAGCUUAACCUUCGGGAGGGCGCUUACCACUUUGUGAUUCAUGACUGGGGUGAAGUCGUAACAAGGUAACCGUAGGGGAACCUGCGGUUGGAUCACCUCCAA